GGCGGACGGGUGAGUAACAUUUAGGAAUCUGCCUAGUAGUGGGGGAUAGCUCGGGGAAACUCGAAUUAAUACCGCAUACGACCUACGGGUGAAAGGGGGCGCAAGCUCUUGCUAUUAGAUGAGCCUAAAUCAGAUUAGCUAGUUGGUGGGGUAAAGGCCCACCAAGGCGACGAUCUGUAACUGGUCUGAGAGGAUGAUCAGUCACACCGGAACUGAGACACGGUCCGGACUCCUACGGGAGGCAGCAGUGGGGAAUAUUGGACAAUGGGGGCAACCCUGAUCCAGCCAUGCCGCGUGUGUGAAGAAGGCCUUUUGGUUGUAAAGCUCUUUUGUCCGGGACGAUAAUGACGGUACCGGAAGAAUAAGCCCCGGCUAACUUCGUGCCAGCAGCCGCGGUAAU
RNAcentral lists this ribosomal RNA (400 nucleotides) under uncultured bacterium. RNAcentral describes it as "bacterial SSU rRNA". It matches the Rfam family "Bacterial small subunit ribosomal RNA", at positions 97 to 524 of the family's 1533-position model. The record is from RNAcentral.